RNAcentral lists this ribosomal RNA (1273 nucleotides) under Brevibacterium casei. RNAcentral describes it as "bacterial SSU rRNA". It matches the Rfam family "Bacterial small subunit ribosomal RNA", at positions 109 to 1392 of the family's 1533-position model. The record is from RNAcentral. Lineage: Bacteria; Bacillati; Actinomycetota; Actinomycetes; Micrococcales; Brevibacteriaceae.
AGUAACACGUGAGUAACCUGCCCCUGACUUCGGGAUAAGCCCGGGAAACUGGGUCUAAUACCGGAUACGACUGCCGGACGCAUGUCUGGUGGUGGAAAGUUUUUUCGGUUGGGGAUGGGCUCGCGGCCUAUCAGUUUGUUGGUGAGGUAAUGGCUCACCAAGACGACGACGGGUAGCCGGCCUGAGAGGGCGACCGGCCACACUGGGACUGAGACACGGCCCAGACUCCUACGGGAGGCAGCAGUGGGGAAUAUUGCACAAUGGGGGAAACCCUGAUGCAGCGACGCAGCGUGCGGGAUGACGGCCUUCGGGUUGUAAACCGCUUUCAGCAGGGAAGAAGCGCAAGUGACGGUACCUGCAGAAGAAGUACCGGCUAACUACGUGCCAGCAGCCGCGGUAAUACGUAGGGUACGAGCGUUGUCCGGAAUUAUUGGGCGUAAAGAGCUCGUAGGUGGUUGGUCACGUCUGCUGUGGAAACGCAACGCUUAACGUUGCGCGUGCAGUGGGUACGGGCUGACUAGAGUGCAGUAGGGGAGUCUGGAAUUCCUGGUGUAGCGGUGAAAUGCGCAGAUAUCAGGAGGAACACCGGUGGCGAAGGCGGGACUCUGGGCUGUAACUGACACUGAGGAGCGAAAGCAUGGGGGAGCGAACAGGAUUAGAUACCCUGGUAGUCCAUGCCGUAAACGUUGGGCACUAGGUGUGGGGGGCAUUCCACGUUCUCCGCGCCGUAGCUAACGCAUUAAGUGCCCCGCCUGGGGAGUACGGUCGCAAGGCUAAAACUCAAAGGAAUUGACGGGGGCCCGCACAAGCGGCGGAGCAUGCGGAUUAAUUCGAUGCAACGCGAAGAACCUUACCAAGGCUUGACAUACACCGGACCGUCCUGGAAACAGGUCCUCUUCUUUGAAGCUGGUGUACAGGUGGUGCAUGGUUGUCGUCAGCUCGUGUCGUGAGAUGUUGGGUUAAGUCCCGCAACGAGCGCAACCCUCGUUCUAUGUUGCCAGCACGUGAUGGUGGGAACUCAUAGGAGACUGCCGGGGUCAACUCGGAGGAAGGUGGGGAUGACGUCAAAUCAUCAUGCCCUUUAUGUCUUGGGCUUCACGCAUGCUACAAUGGCUGGUACAGAGAGAGGCGAACCCGUGAGGGCAAGCGAAUCCCUUAAAGCCAGUCUCAGUUCGGAUCGUAGUCUGCAAUUCGACUACGUGAAGUCGGAGUCGCUAGUAAUCGCAGAUCAGCAACGCUGCGGUGAAUACGUUCCCGGGCCUUGUACACACCG